Molecule: ribosomal RNA, 1356 nt
Filed under: uncultured Omnitrophica bacterium
Lineage: Bacteria; Pseudomonadati; Candidatus Omnitrophota
Description: bacterial SSU rRNA
Rfam family: Bacterial small subunit ribosomal RNA
Source: RNAcentral
CCCAGUGGCAAACGGGUGAGUAACACGUGGGUAAUUUACCCUCGGGUUCGGAAUAACUCCGCGAAAGCGGGGCUAAUACUGGAUGUGACCACGACAUCAUAUGAUGUUGAGGUAAAAGCUGGGGACCGCAAGGCCUAGCGCCUGAGGAUGAGCCCGCGGCCUAUCAGCUAGUUGGUGAGGUAACGGCUCACCAAGGCUUUUGACGGGUAGCUGGACUGAGAGGUUGGUCAGCCACACUGGGACUGAGACACUGCCCAGACUCCUACGGGAGGCUGCAGUCGAGAAUCUUUAGCAAUGGACGAAAGUCUGACUAUGCGACGCCGCGUGAGUGAUGAAGGUCUUCGGAUCGUAAAGCUCUGUCACAGGGGAGGAUGCUUUUGACAUCAAAUAGAUGUCAGGAGUGACAGUACCCUGAGAGGAAGCCACGGCCAACUCCGUGCCAGCAGCCGCGGUAAUACGGAGGUGGCGAGCGUUACUCGGAUUUAUUGGGUGUAAAGGGCAUGUAAGCCGGUGCCGUAAGUCGUAUGUGAAAUCCCAGGGCUUAACCCUGGAACUGCAUACGAAACUGCGCGACUUGAGUACUGGAUAGGAGAGUGGAAUUCCCGGUGUAAGGGUGAAAUCUGUAGAUAUCGGGGGGAACACCAGUGGCGAAAGCGGCUCUCUGGACAGAGACUGACGCUGAAAUGCGAAAGCGUGGGGAGCAAACAGGAUUAGAUACCCUGGUAGUCCACGCCGUAAACGAUGGGCACUAGGUGUCGGGCCGCAAGGCUCGGUGCCGCAGUUAACACAUUAAGUGCCCCACCUGGGGAGUACGGCGGCAACGCUGAAACUCAAAGGAAUUGACGGGGGCCCGCACAAGCGGUGGAGCAUGUGGUUCAAUUCGACGCUACGCGAAGAACCUUACCAAGGCUUGACAUACUAGUAGUAGUGAACUGAAAGGGGAACGACCCCGCAAGGGGAGCUAGUACAGGUGCUGCAUGGUUGUCGUCAGCUCGUGUCGUGAGAUGUUGGGUUAAGUCCCGCAACGAGCGCAACCAUUACUCUUAGUUGCUACUUCGAAAGAAGGCACUCUAAGGGGACUGCCUCCGUUGAGGAGGAGGAAGGUGGUGAUGACGUCAAAUCAGUACGGCCCUUAUGCCUUCGGCUACACACGUGCUACAAUGGCCGGUACAAAGAGUUGCAAGACCGCAAGGUGGAGCUAAUCUCAAAAAACCGGCCCCAGUUCAGAUUGCAGGCUGCAAUUUGCCUGCAUGAAGUCGGAAUCGCUAGUAAGCGCGGAUCAGCCACGCCGCGCUGAAUACGUUCCCGGGCCUUGUACACACCGCCCGUCAAGUCACUUGAAUCGAGUGCACCCGA